AUUGCUGCUACCAAUUUUGUCCUUUCACUGGAAAUUUCCUGACAGAUGGCAAACCUUCUCUGAUUUUGUGGAAGAAAGGGGAAAUAAGCGACUGAAUGACCAAAGUGAACUUGAAGUAUGUUGCAUCACUUGAGAAAAAUCUAUAAAAUCUACCUCAGAGCCGUCGAUCGGAUGAUUCACAACUCAGAUGAAAAUAAGAGCGAGUGAAAUCACAGCAUCGAACAGUUUACUCAAAAACUCUUUUAGCCUGGAAAUUAUCCACAAGAGUCCCUAAGAUGCAUAAUGGAAUUGCAAGCUAAAGCCAAGGCAUACCCAUUCAAAUGUGACUCACUCUGCAGCCUGGGCCAGUGUCUGUCUCAGUUCAGGAAGAGGUGAAUGGGGCAGUGAUAGCUCUCAGUCUCAUAAAACACUUCAAGAACUUCCUGUGAAAAGGAGUAGCUCUGUUGCUACAGUCUCUUACCUGCCUCCUUCCUAGCCCAGUAACAUAGGAAGAGCAAAGGACAAAAGCCCUGCAGAAAACAAACUCCUCCUGCUCAGCAUCUAUUCAUACCAGAUGUUGGAACCCCCACCCAUACCUUGCUGACACAUCUGAUAAAAGUGGAAGUUACAAGAGUACUUUGUGGUCUGCUCUGGGUGAGCCAAAGUGCCUUGGCUCUGGCUGGUGCACGAUCAAACCCUCGGCAGGGAACAGCGUCAAGGUAAGAGCAGCAAGUGCACUGGAAAACACAGAAUGCAGACACUGUAGAAUCAGCUCUGUUUCCUGCUUGACUCAGCCUUUGUUUUUAAUUUGGUAUUGUCAUCCUCUUGUUUACACUGAUACAGACCUAGUCUGGAGAAACCAAUCCAUGAUUUCCAAACAGCUAAUGCAUUCAUUCCAUCAUGGGUCAUAAUCCCACGCUUGAUUGAUACACCAUGGCCUAUAACAGUCAUAGCAGUGUGUGGAAUUGCACCCAUUUCUCGGUUUGUUUGUCUCAGACAGUGCCACAAAGGUGAAUGUGGAUGGUGGUAACAAAGCACUGGGGUGAACUGACGCAACGUGAUUGGUCUCAGUUGCAAUAUCACAGUUUCAUAAUGCAGAAGGCUUUGAAGAACCAAACAGACCCCAGACAUCCUGUGAAGCACAGCUGCAGGUCAGAGCUGGGAAAGCUUUGUUGGCCACAGGGAGACACCCAGAGCAAUGCACCCAGGUAUACAGGCUGGGUAGAGACAGAUGCAAAGGGUCUGAUACUGACAAGUAUUACUCGAUAGAAAGAACAACCUCAGGACAAGGGAAGGAGCACCAUCUGGUGGAAAACAGGUCAAAAUUAAAAGCAGUGAUUCUCCUGAUCUUUUCUUUAUCAUCACCUGGCAAAGAACAAAGGAAUUACUAUUGUCUCUAACUCACUUUGUACAACUGAUUUACUCUUCACGGAAUAUCAGAACUGUCUCAAUGUAUGUAAUCUGUGCAGCUCAUCACAUGACUUAAAAACGUGUCCAUGAGUCUGGGGAAGCUUGAAGUUUUAGGACAGUUUUGAUUUCAAUUCUUAAGCAGAAUCAGAUCCAGUCCUGCAGGUGGCUUUAUUCCUGAAGUGCUGGGCUAUGCUGCUGUUGGAGCCUCCUGCUCCCCUGGCUCCCCAGACCUACUUCUGGACUUAAGUGCUGCAUCAGGAGUAAUCACCUACCUAAAACACUUGUUGAAAAGAAGAAAAUCACCUUAAAAGGCUGGAACAGGAGAGGUCUGAAUUCUAUGUUUUCCUCCAUCCUCAGCUAUUCACUAUCAUCCUGCCAGGUAUCUUCACACAUCAAGCUGUACUUUUAAGAACAAUCCUGGCAUGUUCCUGUCACAAGGAGAUGUACUGGCUCUUAUGUUCUUGUAUGGUGGUAUAAAAUUCUACCUGCCCUUUCCUUUUUCUCUAAAAAACCCUGAAGUCUUUCAUCGACCCUUUGGCUUUGGCUGAUCUUUCCCUCCUCAGUGGCAUAAUACCUCGAUCAAGUUCAUCACUUACAAGGCAGCAAAGCUCCCUGAAUUCUUUGCUCUGAUAUGAGACACAAAAUAUGAGCACAUGUGAAGGUGAGGUCUCAGUGUCAGCACCUUCAAAACGCUCAUCAAACACAACAGUGCUACAAGGGGCUGUGAAAUAUUUGAAAAGAAUGAUCUGAGUCUCUCCAAAACCAAAGCAAGGACAGAAACUGGAUCAGAUGAGUGCUGUUCCAUGAAUGAAACGUGUAAUCUCAUUUAUAUGACAGUACAAGUAUUGCCAGAGAAGAUAUUUCUCAAAAUCAGAUGGAAGUUUCAAGCCCAAUGGACAAAGUAUUUCAAGGUUAUUCACUGUACCCGUGGAUUGGCAGAAUAAAGACUUCUCUUUCAUGUUACCUUUAGAUAGAAGAUCAACGAGCAAUCCAACACUCUUGUAGACAGAAAAGCAAUGUCGUGAACUUUUCACUUGUAUGGGAAACACAGACAAAGGAAGGU
This is a non-coding RNA of Sturnus vulgaris (Common starling), 2452 nucleotides long. Lineage: Eukaryota; Metazoa; Chordata; Aves; Passeriformes; Sturnidae. The record is from RefSeq and is a predicted model, not a curated record.